RNAcentral lists this ribosomal RNA (1422 nucleotides) under metagenome. RNAcentral describes it as "bacterial LSU rRNA". It matches the Rfam family "Bacterial large subunit ribosomal RNA", at positions 1464 to 2905 of the family's 2925-position model. The record is from RNAcentral.
AAGCAGUGACACAGAAGGAUAACUCGAGCAGGGUGAUGGUCAACCCUGUGCAAGCAUCAAGGUUGGGUUGUAGUGAAGUACGCAACCCUAUAAGCUGAGAUGUGAUGCGGACCGAAAUUUCAGUAGGGAAGCGAGUGAGUUCACGCUGGCGAGAAAAGCUGCUAGUAUAUCCAAAGGUACCCGUACCGGAAACCGACGCAGGUGGGCGAGGAGAGAAUCCUGAGACGAACGGGAGAACCCUUGUUAAGGAACUCGGCAAAAUGACCCCGUAACUUCGGGAUAAGGGGUGCCUGCGAGAGCAGGCCGCAGAGAAUAGUCACAAGCGACUGUUUAGCAAAAACACAGGUAUCUGCGAAAGCGAGAGCUGACGUAUAGGUGCUGACACCUGCCCGGUGCUGGAAGGUUAAGGGAACAUGUUAGAGCAAUCGAAGCAUCGAACCGAAGCCCCAGUAAACGGCGGCCGUAACGAUAACGGUCCUAAGGUAGCGAAAUUCCUUGUCGGGUAAGUUCCGACCCGCACGAAUGGUGUAACGACUUGUGAGCUGUCUCAACAGGGGGCCCGGUGAAAUUGAAGUAUGGGUGAAGAUGCCCAUUACCCGCGACUGGACGGAAAGGCCCCGUAGAGCUUUACUGCAGCCUGAUAUUGAGUUUCGGUAACUGAUGCACAGGAUAGGUGGGAGUCUGAGAGACAUGGGUUUCGGCUCAUGAGGAGACGCUGUUGGGAUACCACUCUUCGGUUACUGAAAUUCUAACAUAGCUCUGUGAAACCAGAGGAUGGACAGUGUCAGGUGGACAGUUUGACUGGGGCGGUCGCCUCCGAAAGAGUAACGGAGGCGCCCAAAGGUACCCUCAGAAUGGAUGGAAACCAUUCGAAGAGCGCAAAGGCAGAAGGGUGCCUGACUGCGAGAUUGACAAAUCGAGCAGAGACGAAAGUCGGGCUUAGUGAUCCGGCGGUAUUGAGUGGAAAAGCCGUCGCUUAACGGAUAAAAGCUACCUCGGGGAUAACAGGCUGAUCUCCCCCAAGAGUCCACAUCGACGGGGAGGUUUGGCACCUCGAUGUCGGCUCGUCGCAUCCUGGGGCUGAAGCAGGUCCCAAGGGUUUGGCUGUUCGCCAAUUAAAGCGGCACGCGAGCUGGGUUCAGAACGUCGUGAGACAGUUCGGUCCCUAUCCAUCGUGGGCGCAGGAGUCAUGAGAGGAGCUGUUCCUAGUACGAGAGGACCGGAAUGGACGCACCACUGGUGCAACUGUUGUCGUGCCAACGGCAUAGCAGGGAAGCGAAGUGCGGAUGGGAUAAACGCUGAAGGCAUCUAAGCGUGAAGCCCACCUCAAGAAUAAGACUCCACAAUAGACCCCUGGAGGACUACCAGGUAGAUAGGUCAUCGGUGGAAGCGCUGUAAGGCGUGUAGCUUGAUGAUACUAAU